UACGGGGGGGGUAAGCGUUGUUCGGAAUUACUGGGCGUAAAGGGCUCGUAGGUGGCCAACUAAGUCAUACGUGAAAUCCCUCGGCUUAACCGGGGAACUGCGUCUGAUACUGGAUGGCUUGAGUUUGGGAGAGGGAUGCGGAAUUCCAGGUGUAGCGGUGAAAUGCGUAGAUAUCUGGAGGAACACCGGUGGCGAAGGCGGCAUCCUGGACCAAUACUGACACUGAGGAGCGAAAGCCAGGGGAGCAAACGGG
This 253-nucleotide ribosomal RNA is filed under the name uncultured bacterium. RNAcentral's name for it is "partial 16S ribosomal RNA". It matches the Rfam family "Bacterial small subunit ribosomal RNA", at positions 524 to 776 of the family's 1533-position model. The record is from RNAcentral.